RNA transcript from Phragmites australis (common reed), 1809 nucleotides. RefSeq lists it as uncharacterized. The transcript has 4 exons. The record is from RefSeq and is a predicted model, not a curated record. NCBI's taxonomy places the organism in Eukaryota, Viridiplantae, Streptophyta, Magnoliopsida, Poales, Poaceae.
GCCGUUUAAGUAUUGUCUUUUACAUGCAGCUGAAUGAUUACACAAAGGCACAUGUAAUUUAGGUGGUCCAUUUCUUAAUGUGUCUCCUGUUCCUUUGCUUUCUUCUUUCCCUCUUGUUCCUGAAUCUCUGCAAGAACAAGGCCACAGAAUACAUACUUUUAUCGUUUGGCAUGCCUACAGAGCCUGAUUAAAAUACCUCUGUGAAAGGAAUCUUACAUCAUUCAUGUCUUGUCUCCUGCUUUUUCAUCAGGGUUCAGAGAGAGGGAGGAAGGAGCUGCAUGCUCUGUUUGUGUAGGUGUGUAUAAAAGGGAAAGCCUGUGGCCUUUGGAGCCAUACAAUGAUCAGAAACUGAGAGUGAGACGAGCCAAGUUGUAGUUGGAGCUCAGCAGGAUACAGUUCUUGAGUCACUUCUCUGACAUCCACAGAUAGUAGAGCAGUUGCAUAGGUUGAAAGAGAGAGAGUAGCACACCUCCACAAUGCGCAUGGAGCAAGUAUUCAGGCACUGUGACAGAGACACACUAAAGAUGGCCAUGCUGAAGCAUGAAGAGACUUUCAGACAGCAAGUUCACGAGCUCCAUCGCUUAUACAGUUUUCAAAAGCUUCUGAUGCGAGACCUCACGAGCCAGAGGAACGUGUCCACCUCCCCGAACGGCGGCUCCACCGAGCACAGAAGAGGCACGCUCGGCUUGUGCGCCUACGAGCACCGCUACGCCGCUCGCGGUCGCGGCGGCCACGUAGCAGCGACGCCAACGCCUCGCACCGCGCUCAGCCUCGACGUCGUGGCGCCGGCCGUCGGGUACGUCCGGAGCCCGGAGGAGGCGGACGAGGAGACCGACGACGAGGCGGAGCUGGAGCUCACGCUCGCCGUGGGCGGCGCCGGCGCCGGCGGGGGAAAGAAGAGGUACUGCGAGUGCCCAUCUGGCGGGGAGAGCUUCUCGUCGUCGUCGACGGAGUCCGACGUGCUGCCCACCGGCCGGGAGUGGCGCCAGGCGCGCGGUAAGCCGUACCACAAGAGGAAGUCGGCGACCGGGCUGGACGCGGUGCCGGUGGAGGACGGCAUCGAGGUUCAGCCGCCGCCGCUGCUGUUCCACUGGCUCAGCCUCAGGAUGGCAUGAGAUGAGAGGGAGCAAGAACACAUGCAUGUCUUCCUGCAUGCUCGUAGUGUCAGGGACUCAGGGUGUUGACAUGCUACUAUUCUUCAGUUGAAUGCUUCUGUGUGUUCCAGCUUAGUGAUGGAUCAGGUCUAGAAAUCAAUAAUUGACCAGUUGUUGAGGAGAAUGUAGGAUCCAGUUUCCGAAAGGGGAGGAGAACGUAGGGGCUUUUCCUUUUGAGUUGAAGCUGUAAGUGUGAUUACCUUAGUGCAAGUGCCUCUGCUUUCAUUGACAGUCAACUUUUCAAUCAUCAGAAUGCCAGACACCAAGAACUACAAGGUGCUGUUGAUAGAGUGAUUGAUCCAAACUGGUGCAUCCUGAAAGAUUCAUCACAUACACAUCAAGCAUGUGAAAUAUAGGCUCAUGCAAAGUCUGCAUAUAUUUAAGUGAGGCUGAUACCAUUUUUUUUUUUUUGAGGAAAUGAAUUGUGAAUAGCGAUUGUUUCUACGAUUCGCCAUCGAAUAGGUCUGGUUUCCUUCAAUACCAUCGAAUAGCGAGUUUUCCUAGUUUUAUGCCAUUGCCUCGGCAAGCUGUGGACCUAAGUGAGACGUUGUAAAAAGACCAUUUUGUCUCUAUUUCAGUAUGUGAGUAAUUUUUCUCAUGCAACUGCAAAUUAUGGGUCACAUUUUUAUUGUUAAUAUGCAACAAACAAAAGUUA